UGGUUCUGGCAUCGAUGAAGAACGCAGCGAAAUGCGAUAAGUAAUGUGAAUUGCAGAAUUCAGUGAAUCAUCGAAUCUUUGAACGCACAUUGCGCCCACUAGUAUUCUGGUGGGCAUGCCUGUUCGAGCGUCAUUAAUUCCACUCAAGCCUAGUGCUUGGAAUUGGGAGAAUAGCUGCCCUGCAGCUACCUCCUCAAAGAUAACGGCGGAGUUGUGUCAUCCUCUGAGCUUAGUAAUUACUUCCUAGCUUCUGAAGACUCACAUCCCCUGCCGCUAAACCCCAUCUUUUUAAUGGUUGACCUCGGAUCAGGUAGGAAUACCCGCUGA
RNAcentral lists this unclassified non-coding RNA (327 nucleotides) under uncultured fungus. RNAcentral describes it as "partial contains 5.8S ribosomal RNA and internal transcribed spacer 2". The stretch from base 1 to 133 matches the Rfam family "5.8S ribosomal RNA", at positions 22 to 154 of the family's 154-position model. Lineage: Eukaryota; Fungi. The record is from RNAcentral.